Molecule: long non-coding RNA, 331 nt
Organism: Actinia tenebrosa (Australian red waratah sea anemone)
Lineage: Eukaryota; Metazoa; Cnidaria; Anthozoa; Actiniaria; Actiniidae
Source: RefSeq, a predicted model, not a curated record
GUUUAGAAUCUGCGACUUUGCUGCGCUGAUGGCUUGGUAUUCUCCGGUUUACUCAAGGUAGUUUAGAAACAAAACGUAACGGUAAAAAGAACACUUUCAAAGCCAAUACAGACAGAAAGUCAGGAAAAGCAGUUGRAAACAUAAAUAUCGCAAAUGGCAACAAGAAAGGCAGGAAAUAAAGGUUUUGUACAAAACGGUUAGAAUUCAAAGAACAACUUGACUUUUUUGUCGCAAAAGGCUUCAUGCAUCUUAGAGAUAUGGAAUUCUCGUUUGAAUUCAGCUCAAAAAGCUCUUAAAUGUUGUUGGUAUUUGAAGCAUUGAAGUCGAAAGU